This 1204-nucleotide long non-coding RNA is filed under the name Mus musculus (house mouse). RNAcentral's name for it is "RIKEN cDNA C030014I23 gene". Lineage: Eukaryota; Metazoa; Chordata; Mammalia; Rodentia; Muridae. The record is from RNAcentral.
GAAUAGUAGCCCUGAGCCUCCCACGGAGCUCUGAACCCUGAGCCUCUGUCUAUGGCAUAAAAAAAUGAAGGCAGCCAGUUCCAAGUAGUGUGCCCUUUGAUCAGCUCCCAAGGGUGCGACCCGCCUUCAGGGUAAAGGGAAAGCCUGGAGGUCAGGAAGCAGGCUCCUGAGGGCUUCUGGGGAAGGUACUCAUCUACCACCGUUUUGACAGCUCUCUGGAUGUAACUCUUCAUCAAACAUCCCACAAGCCAUUCCACAUAGUCACCAACAUCCCAGAGACAGACCUGGACCGACUACAGAGUCUUUGUAGCCUUGUCUGGCCUGCAUAUGAGGCUACGCUUGAACUCACACGGAGACGCCGCCUGCUUCUGGCUCCUGUGCUGGGAUCAGAGGCUUCUGCAAAGAGAGUCCCAGCCUUGCCAGGAGGCGGAAGUGACUGAGCUGCUAGAUCCUUCAAAGUGGAGACAUCCAGAAGACAGACAACUUGGCCAGCGGGAAAUGAAGGUGAAGAGAAACUGAGGAGAUUGGAAUCUAGUGCUGAAUUUGCAUUCGAUGCCGAGCCUAGGAGAUAGAAACUCAUAUUUGCCCAGUUGGAGCUCGGGUUCCAUAUGAAGCUGAAGCUGCUCUUGAACUGAUCCUCCGGCCUUCCCUUCCUGUCAUGAUGAGCCCUUCAUUCAGGGCUUAUACCCCUGCCCCUCAUCUGGACCUCCCCGAUCUUGCCCAGUGCCCAGCUCCUGGGCCAUCCACCCAGAAACAUUCACUGAAGCCCUCCUGUGAACCUGGCCAGCACCUGAGACAGUCAUGCAAGGAACACAGAGACUGGAAGUUAUGAUCUGAGUCCUCAGGAAUCUCAUGCCAGCCAGAUGUACAGACAGGAGGAACGACACAUAUGGGAGUCAGUACUCUGGUGGGUGGCACUGAUGUGACAGGUGAUGGGGAACAGAAGACACAGGUUGCUACUGUUCUUUGUGAAGCAGUCAGCGCUCGCUCGGCACUGGUUGAUUUCAUUGGAGGUGAGGGGGCAGUGAGAUAGAAGGAAAAUGGCCUGGGAGAAGAAGCCUUGAGUUCUAGUCCCAGGUUCACAAUUCUAGUUGUGUAACUUGGUAAUUCCUUAAGUCACACAAGCUUCACUUUUCUCAUUUACCCCUUCCUUGUAAAUUCGUGGUGGUAACCAUUGAGAUAAUAUAGGCAAUGCUUUAAAGAA